This 253-nucleotide ribosomal RNA is filed under the name uncultured bacterium. RNAcentral's name for it is "partial 16S ribosomal RNA". It matches the Rfam family "Bacterial small subunit ribosomal RNA", at positions 524 to 776 of the family's 1533-position model. The record is from RNAcentral.
UACGAAGGGUGCAAGCGUUAAUCGGAAUUACUGGGCGUAAAGCGUGCGUAGGUGGUUUCUUAAGUCUGCUGUGAAAGCCCUGGGCUCAACCUGGGAAUGGCGGUGGAUACUGAGGAGCUAGAGUGCGGUAGAGGAGGGUGGAAUUCCCGGUGUAGCGGUGAAAUGCGUAGAGAUCGGGAGGAACAUCAGUGGCGAAGGCGGCCCUCUGGACCAGCACUGACGCUGAGGCACAAAAGCGUGGGGAGCAAACAGG